CUCCAGGGUGCUUUCAGCUUCAUGUUAACCCAGAAGCAUGGGAGAUGAGACUCUGGUGUCCUGAUACAGAUUGUUUUGCAUCCGUGCAUCACAGUUUGUGCCUGCGGGUGAAUAACUCAUCCUUGGUACAGUGAAUCUCUAAGAAUGGAAAAACUAUCUGCCUCACGGGAAGCCUACUGCACCGGUGUACAAUUUUCCUGCUUUAGGGAGUGAGAAUUAAACAUCCCCAGUAGGUCCCUUCUGGGCCAUUUCCC
Long non-coding RNA from Lagopus leucura (white-tailed ptarmigan), 254 nucleotides. RefSeq lists it as uncharacterized. The transcript has 3 exons. NCBI's taxonomy places the organism in Eukaryota, Metazoa, Chordata, Aves, Galliformes, Phasianidae. The record is from RefSeq and is a predicted model, not a curated record.